This is a long non-coding RNA of Amphiprion ocellaris (clown anemonefish), 517 nucleotides long. The record is from Ensembl. NCBI's taxonomy places the organism in Eukaryota, Metazoa, Chordata, Actinopteri, Pomacentridae.
AGAUGCACAAUGAGGGACGUCUGCAGAGACUGAGAAAGAGUCUCACCACAUCCUGACAUGAGGAAAAAGACUUUAUUGAAGACUACAAUGAGAAAAACUAUCAGACAGCAGACGGCUGCAUUCAAGUCUGUAGCUGCUGAAUUCAUGGAUGAAUCAUCUGGCACUAGAGAAGAAGACCAUCAAACAUCCACGUCAGCUGAUGGAGGUCCAAGAGUCUCACCAAACAACCUACAGAGUGAAGACCUCAAAUCUGAUUGGACGGCCUCCUAUUCAGCCACAUUUUAGGCUGUUAGAUUGUUCCAGAUAAGACAAGUACAAGAUACUUCAGAGCCGUUCUACCACGAGCCUGACAGGAAGAACUCCAACAGCUACUGAAUGUUCCUGUGGUCCCCUCAAGGCUACAGGAGGAGCCCUAUGAGGACGAGCCGGUCCACCUGAUGGUGGCCAGUUGCUGCGGUUCAAAGCCAACACCGACUACAUGGACUUCUACUGGACCACACGGAGGCCUUCAAACCGG